This 550-nucleotide ribosomal RNA is filed under the name uncultured bacterium. RNAcentral describes it as "bacterial SSU rRNA". It matches the Rfam family "Bacterial small subunit ribosomal RNA", at positions 355 to 896 of the family's 1533-position model. The record is from RNAcentral.
UAGGGAAUCUUCGGCAAUGGACGGAAGUCUGACCGAGCAACGCCGCGUGAGUGAAGAAGGUUUUCGGAUCGUAAAGCUCUGUUGUAAGAGAAGAACGAGUGUGAGAGUGGAAAGUUCACACUGUGACGGUAUCUUACCAGAAAGGGACGGCUAACUACGUGCCAGCAGCCGCGGUAAUACGUAGGUCCCGAGCGUUGUCCGGAUUUAUUGGGCGUAAAGCGAGCGCAGGCGGUUAGAUAAGUCUGAAGUUAAAGGCUGUGGCUUAACCAUAGUAGGCUUUGGAAACUGUUUAACUUGAGUGCAAGAGGGGAGAGUGGAAUUCCAUGUGUAGCGGUGAAAUGCGUAGAUAUAUGGAGGAACACCGGCGGCGAAAGCGGCUCUCUGGCUUGUAACUGACGCUGAGGCUCGAAAGCGUGGGGAGCAAACAGGAUUAGAUACCCUGGUAAUCCACGCUGUAAACGAUGAGUGCUAGGUGUUAGACCCUUUCCGGGGUUUAGUGCCGUAGCUAACGCAUUAAGCACUCCGCCUGGGGAGUACGACCGCAAGGUUG